ACUGAUGGUAUAAUGCCUAGCUGAUACUCAUUUUCUGUGUACCCGGCAGCAGGUCUGUGGUGUAACACAGUCACCCAUAACACAAGUGGGGUUUUUUGUUUUGUUUUGUUUUUGGCUACUGCCAGUAUUUCCACUCUGAGGGCUGUGUUGCUUAGACUUAAGAAGUCAUAAUGAAAGAGGAGUGGAAGGGAAUGGUUCAACAUUCAAGGGCUUGUUUUCUCUGGAUGAGAAGGUAGAAGAAUGACUGCUUAACUCAAGUACGCCUGGAGUUUCUAGGGAUUACCAGCUUCACCUAGAAUUCAAGGAGAACAAAUUCAAGACUCAUUGAACUUAGAUCAAGACCUUUAAGCGUAUGGUUGAGCUGAAGCUUCUGAAAUCCACAGUUUCAGAUGUAUGGCUGUAUUUGAAAUAUAACAAUACUUCUUAAUCAAGACAUGGAAGUCUUGCAGAAUACCCACAGAACAGGUUGAGAAGCAGGUGAACUUGUACCACAGGCAACAAAAGCCUCUAAGCUUUUACAGCCUGGUGGAUAACACAAGAUGAGCUCCUACUGCGGUGUUAGGCUAACUGUGUCAGUAGCGCUGCUGUUUUCUUUAUCAAUAGGGAUUGACUCCUAUGUGUGAGGUAUAGCUUUGUGUUUAGUAUAUAAGUAUAUAAAGUAUCUAAGUUUCUGUAAUUACUUCAAUUAACAACGUCAGUGCCCAGAUAUCCUCUAGCAGUUUUUCAUACUCCUGCCUUUUCAGCUGGCUUCAUCUGUCCAAGUUGAAGCGUGUGCCUCUCUGACUUUGUUCAGUACACAAUUGAGGAGAUGAAAUUGAGUUACCUAGUGGUUGCAUUUAGCCAUCUGUUCACAUGGAUCCCUGGCUCACUGAUUUACUCUUUGAUUAGUUUUUCAUUUUUUUCUUUCUCUUCUUUCAGAUAAACUUUUAUUCUGAUAACUGAGAUUUUUUGGAAACUCAUUCUCAUGUCUUUGCAUGUUGUUACAAAACUCACAGGGAACUAUACGGUAGCAAAUAAAAUGGAGUUGAGGCAGCACGUGAAACAGCUGUAAGAGGUUAAGGUAUACAGAAAUGUGGGGAAAGCGGACAGGAUUUCCCCACAGGCAGAUGGAAGAUGUUGUGGGUGGGAGACUGGGGAGGAGGGUUAUAUCCCUCAGCUAUGAUACUCAGCUGGACUCCUUGAAGCCAAUAUCAGUGGUACUCCUUAUGCAGGAAAGCACUUGAGUUUGCCUCAUUAUAUUCAAUUGCUGCUGGCUGCAGAGAGAAGAGCAGAGGUAACCUGCCAGCUUUGAAUGAGAUACCUCAGGUAUCGGAAGCAAUUGAGGCAUAGAAGCACAGAGUAUCGUCUGACCUGCUGAGACCAACCUUGUUUCUGGAACCGAACUGGUAGGCUGUGUUGUAAAUGCAAGCUCAGGUUUUCCACACUCCAGGCACUCAGUAGUUUAGACUAAUCCCCAAAUACAUGUUUAAGUACAUGAGGGCCAAGCAGCAUGAUAAACAGGAAAGAAGACAAGGCUUUAGAGCGAUUUAAAUGACUUGGUGACCUGUGUCUGUCUGAAUAAAUAUUUUUAGAUGGCCCAAAGCAAGUUUAGACAUCUAGGGCUAACCACCUGUGCAUUCUGAAUAGGCAGCUACAUCUUAGACAGCAGUGGCUCCUGGUUACCGUAGCAUAUUAGCAACUUGGUGCAACUCUGAGCACACUGCAGUGGUGAAAAGGACCAAGUGAACAGCAGCGAUGAACAGAGGAAUAGCUCUUAGGGAUGGUGUUAUGCCUUUGAGCACAACUUGGUACAAAAUUCCAGGCCAGAACUGAAAUGCUCUGUGCUUGUUCCAAACUUUGAAUAGGGCACUGGAACAAAAAAAAAAAAAAAAAAAAGCGUGUACAAAAAACCACAAUGUAUUUGAUGGCUGUUUGUCAGUGGUGGAUAUUAGGAGCACAGUGUGUUUAGUGUGUCCACAUGAUUAACCAGUAUCUUGCUGGUUGUUGGUACCUUUACUUGCAGGAAGUUCUAUAAUACCUUUUUCAUCUAAUGUGGAAACAUAAUAAACAUGGCUGUCUGAAAGCUGAAGCCAGACUAAUUCAAGUUAAAUAUAAAACAAAUUUUUGUUAGUUAAGUUGAUUAACUGUUAGACCAAAAUGUCAAGAUAACUGUGGAGUCUGUUUCCCUUAAUUCCCUCAGGUUAAGACUAGAAAAUAUAAUUUGAUCAAAAAAGUUUUGGGUUUAAACAUGCAGGUAAUUGGUUAAAAUUUCAAGUGCUAUCUCAAGUAGGAAAUUGUUACCCUGUAACGACAUUCUUUAGUUCUAAUAUGUGUGAUCAGUUAUGGGGAAAGAAGAACAAAACAUUUUUCUAUGUCACUGAAAAAUUAUAUUCUGUUAGAUUUUGGUCUGGAGAUGAAAAACUCCUUUGAUUUUUUAACUCCUUACAAAUAAAUGCAUUUCUUUUUAU
Molecule: long non-coding RNA, 2447 nt
Organism: Cygnus olor (mute swan)
Lineage: Eukaryota; Metazoa; Chordata; Aves; Anseriformes; Anatidae
Exons: 3
Source: RefSeq, a predicted model, not a curated record